GGCUCAGGAUGAACGCUAGCUACAGGCUUAACACAUGCAAGUCGAGGGGAAACGAUAGAGAAAGCUUGCUUUUUCUAGGCGUCGACCGGCGCACGGGUGAGUAACGCGUAUCCAACCUGCCCAUCACUUGGGGAUAACCUUGCGAAAGUAAGACUAAUACCCAAUGACGUCUCUAGAAGACAUCUGAAGGAGAUUAAAGAUUUAUCGGUGAUGGAUGGGGAUGCGUCUGAUUAGCUUGUUGGCGGGGUAACGGCCCACCUAGCCUGCGAUGGAUAGGGGUUCUGAGAGGAAGGUCCCCCACAUUGGAACUGAGACACGGUCCAAACUCCUACGGGAGGCAGCAGUGAGGAAUAUUGGUCAAUGGACGAGAGUCUGAACCAGCCAAGUAGCGUGCAGGAUGACGGCCCUAUGGGUUGUAAACUGCUUUUAUAAGGGAAUAAAGUGGGAGUCGUGACUCUUUUUGCAUGUACCUUAUGAAUAAGGACCGGCUAAUUCCGUG
This 499-nucleotide ribosomal RNA is filed under the name uncultured bacterium. RNAcentral describes it as "bacterial SSU rRNA". It matches the Rfam family "Bacterial small subunit ribosomal RNA", at positions 21 to 507 of the family's 1533-position model. The record is from RNAcentral.